Molecule: ribosomal RNA, 555 nt
Filed under: Streptomyces sp.
Lineage: Bacteria; Bacillati; Actinomycetota; Actinomycetes; Kitasatosporales; Streptomycetaceae
Description: bacterial SSU rRNA
Rfam family: Bacterial small subunit ribosomal RNA
Source: RNAcentral
CACGCGGCGGAGCAUGAGGAGAAAUUAGAAGCAUCGCGACGAACAUUACCAAGGCUUGACAUACCCUGGAAAAACCUGGAGACAGGGUCCCCCUUUUGGUCGGUGUACAGGUGGUGCAUGGCUGUCGUCAGCUCGUGUCGUGAGAUGUUGGGCUAAGUCCCGCAACGAGCGCAACCCUUGUCCCGUGUUGCCAGCAGGCCCUUGUGGUGCUGGGGACUCACGGGAGACCGCCGGGGUCAACUCGGAGGAAGGUGGGGACGACGUCAAGUCAUCAUGCCCCUUAUGUCUUGGGCUGCACACGUGCUACAAUGGCCGGUACAAUGAGCUGCGAUACCGCGAGGUGGAGCGAAUCUCAAAAAGCCGGUCUCAGUUCGGAUUGGGGUCUGCAACUCGACCCCAUGAAGUCGGAGUCGCUAGUAAUCGCAGAUCAGCAUUGCUGCGGUGAAUACGUUCCCGGGCCUUGUACACACCGCCCGUCACGUCACGAAAGUCGGUAACACCCGAAGCCGGUGGCCCAACCCCUUGUGGGAGGGAGCUGUCGAAGGUGGGACCUGG